RNAcentral lists this ribosomal RNA (497 nucleotides) under uncultured bacterium. RNAcentral's name for it is "partial 16S ribosomal RNA". It matches the Rfam family "Bacterial small subunit ribosomal RNA", at positions 28 to 507 of the family's 1533-position model. The record is from RNAcentral.
GAUGAACGCUGGCGGCGUGCCUAAUACAUGCAAGUCGAGCGAACGGACGAGAAGCUUGCUUUUCUGAUGUUAGCGGCGGACGGGUGAGUAACACGUGGAUAACCUACCUAUAAGACUGGGAUAACUUCGGGAAACCGGAGCUAAUACCGGAUAAUCUUUUGAACCGCAUGGUUCAAAAGUGAAAGACGGUCUUGCUGUCACUUAUAGAUGGAUCCGCGCUGCAUUAGCUAGUUGGUAAGGUAACGGCUUACCAAGGCAACGAUGCAUAGCCGACCUGAGAGGGUGAUCGGCCACACGGGAACGGAGACACGGUCCAGACUCCUACGGGAGGCAGCAGUAGGGAAUCUUCCGCAAUGGGCGAAAGCCUGACGGAGCAACGCCGCGUGAGUGAUGAAGGUCUUCGGAUCGUAAAACUCUGUUAUUAGGGAAGAACAUAUGUGUAAGUAACUGUGCACAUCUUGACGGUACCUAAUCAGAAAGCCACGGCUAACUACGUG